This 450-nucleotide ribosomal RNA is filed under the name uncultured bacterium. RNAcentral describes it as "bacterial SSU rRNA". It matches the Rfam family "Bacterial small subunit ribosomal RNA", at positions 354 to 796 of the family's 1533-position model. The record is from RNAcentral.
GUGGGGAAUAUUGGACAAUGGGGGGAACCCUGAUCCAGCCAUGCCGCGUGUGUGAAGAAGGUCUUCGGAUUGUAAAGCACUUUAAGUUGGGAGGAAGGGCAGUAAGUUAAUACCUUGCUGUUUUGACGUUACCGACAGAAUAAGCACCGGCUAACUUCGUGCCAGCAGCCGCGGUAAUACGAAGGGUGCAAGCGUUAAUCGGAAUUACUGGGCGUAAAGCGCGCGUAGGUGGUUUUGUAAGUUGGAGGUGAAAUCCCCGGGCUCAACCUGGGAACUGCCUCCAAAACUGCAUGACUAGAGUACGGUAGAGGGUAGUGGAAUUUCCUGUGUAGCGGUGAAAUGCGUAGAUAUAGGAAGGAACACCAGUGGCGAAGGCGACUACCUGGACUGAUACUGACACUGAGGUGCGAAAGCGUGGGGAGCAAACAGGAUUAGAAACCCCUGUAGUCC